UGGGGAAUUUUGGACAAUGGGCGCAAGCCUGAUCCAGCCAUGCCGCGUGCAGGAUGAAGGCCUUCGGGUUGUAAACUGCUUUUGUACGGAACGAAAAGACUCUGGUUAAUACCUGGGGUCCAUGACGGUACCGUAAGAAUAAGCACCGGCUAACUACGUGCCAGCAGCCGCGGUAAUACGUAGGGUGCGAGCGUUAAUCGGAAUUACUGGGCGUAAAGCGUGCGCAGGCGGUUAUAUAAGACAGAUGUGAAAUCCCCGGGCUCAACCUGGGAACUGCAUUUGUGACUGUAUAGCUAGAGUACGGCAGAGGGGGAUGGAAUUCCGCGUGUAGCAGUGAAAUGCGUAGAUAUGCGGAGGAACACCGAUGGCGAAGGCAAUCCCCUGGGCCUGUACUGACGCUCAUGCACGAAAGCGUGGGGAGCAAACAGG
This 429-nucleotide ribosomal RNA is filed under the name Pseudomonas sp. Its description in RNAcentral is "partial 16S ribosomal RNA". It matches the Rfam family "Bacterial small subunit ribosomal RNA", at positions 355 to 776 of the family's 1533-position model. The record is from RNAcentral. Lineage: Bacteria; Pseudomonadati; Pseudomonadota; Gammaproteobacteria; Pseudomonadales; Pseudomonadaceae. RNAcentral also lists the same sequence under 3 other names.